Molecule: long non-coding RNA, 451 nt
Organism: Girardinichthys multiradiatus
Lineage: Eukaryota; Metazoa; Chordata; Actinopteri; Cyprinodontiformes; Goodeidae
Exons: 2
Source: RefSeq, a predicted model, not a curated record
UCCAGCCUUCUCAUGUAUAGUUAAGUAUUUCUCGUUUUGACUUUUUGCUGACCUGCUUGUCUUCUUGUAUCCCAGAUCGAGACUACCCAGGCUGGAUCGCCGCCUUGCUUUGUUAAAGCAUAUUUUUGGAGUACCUUUGCUUCACAGUAGCCAUGUCAUUAUUGUCCUACUGGACUACCUUGCUGGCUGCCACCAAGUGCUUCCUGCCUCACACCGAUUCCACAGAACCUGUCCACCCUCCACCUCUCUCAAGCGACCCAGCUCCGGCACCGUACUACCACUCGUUAUUGCACACUCCUGGUUUGGAAGCCUUCGUACUCACCGCACUGUGUGCUCUUUUUGGUCAGUCUGAAUCCCUCUCCUCCUGGCGGAGAACUCACCCAGCCUACCUACCCCUCCAUGUACCAGAGCGCCCAGUAUUCCUGUAUUCAAUAAACUCAUUGCAAACUUU